Molecule: long non-coding RNA, 323 nt
Organism: Eurytemora carolleeae
Lineage: Eukaryota; Metazoa; Arthropoda; Copepoda; Calanoida; Temoridae
Exons: 3
Source: RefSeq, a predicted model, not a curated record
CGUUCAAAUUUGCUUGAUUCACUUCUAAAAGAGGUGUGUGUCUGAGAAACAUUCCUAUUUGGUUUGUUCAUUUUUCUGAGGGACAGAAGAGUGUCCUAUCAUAGUACUGAUUGUCUACUUUUGAAGUCUAUCUUCUUCCAGUUGUAAAUUUUUCUACUAGAUGUCACUAACAUCAAAAUUAUUUCACACUUAAAUGUUAGUAGACAAAGGUGUUUUGUCUUGUCUUUGAUUUCAGAGUCUCAAAGUUUUGAUUUACAAGUGUCUAAAACGACCAAGCUUAUAUUUGCUUGAUUCACUUCUAAAAGAGAACUAUGCAAAUCUAA